CAGAGGUGAGUGAUGCUGGCGUAGACCGGUGGGUCAGCUACAGCGCUCGGGUCUCCGGACCCACUGGGAGCGCGGACCCCUAUUUGAGCAGAAAAAGAAAGGGCGGCGAAGUCUGGGGGGGUGGUGGGGAGAAAUGGAGGGAGCCAAGGGCCAGUCAGUCACAUAUUCAGAUACGGGCCUCCGUCACCAAGUACACAGCUUCCCUCACUGCUACUAAAGAUGCCCCAUUCACCUUAGAGUUUGAGGGCCCAUAUAGUACCCACUAGAACCCUAGGGUACUAUUAGGACAAAUAGGAUAAUAACCGCAUUAUACCAAAAGGACCCAGAUCCCAAAUCCCCUGGAAGGGACACUUUGCCCUCGGCGGGUUCCCCUUCUCCCCCGCCCAUUUCGAAGAAUUGGGUUUUCCUCUGGGAUCCAGUCUGGCGCCCCUCGGGACUUCCUGCCUUUGCCAGGCUGCCCCAGCGCAAGCUUCUCUGGCCUGAGCCAUCCCUCAGUCCUAGCCCCACCUGUCUCCUCUGGCUCUUCCCUCCCCUCCUCGAGUCGCUCCAAGCCAGACGAGGACUCACUUCUGCUGCUGGCAGCCAGGGGACACACCUGGCUGCUGACCUCAGGACACCCAGGGCUGGUCCAAGGAGACGCACCUCCCGGGGGCACAGAAUCCCACCCCCCGGUAGCCCUGACCCUCCAGCUCCCGCGCCUCGCAGCCCUACCGCAUCCCGUGUCUAAAGGGCGGGGCCGGGCCGUUGGGUCGCCCCUCCCACUCUCCAUUCCUUUUCUCCCUCGGAAACCACCGAGCACAAAGGCAGCAUUGAUUCUUUGCCACCCCCAGAGCGGUCUCUGGAAGGCUCCGCCACCACGCGCUCGCCUCACCCCUGCGCAGAGCCACCGAGAGCACCGUGUUCCGACCCUCUGCCCAGGGAUCCGAGCUCGCGACCCUCUCCGUCGCGCGCCCGGAGUGCUCGCCUCACCUGUGGGUCGCCUCUGGGUUCUGGCCUCAGGCCCUGACACUUUCAGAGCCAGAGGGGAGCAGCUUUCUCUGCAGCUUGCUCCCCCAGCGCAGUCCUUCUGGGAGGAGCUGGCAGGGGCCUCCGCUGCCUACGUCCUACCUCUUUUCCUGAAUAAACACAGCUCUGUCUGCGCGGCCAUCAGCCGGGCCUUCUGACUUCCUCCAGCUGAAGCCAGGUUUCUAGCAACAAUCCAUUCCUGUGCCCAGGCCUCCUGUGCUGAAGUUGGGCUGCUUAGGAGUGGGGGAGGGCUACAGAGAAGAGGGAGACGGCCAUCAG
RNAcentral lists this long non-coding RNA (1284 nucleotides) under Piliocolobus tephrosceles (Ugandan red Colobus). RNAcentral describes it as "lncRNA (ENSPTEG00000027807.1)". Lineage: Eukaryota; Metazoa; Chordata; Mammalia; Primates; Cercopithecidae. The record is from RNAcentral.